RNAcentral lists this ribosomal RNA (497 nucleotides) under uncultured bacterium. RNAcentral's name for it is "partial 16S ribosomal RNA". It matches the Rfam family "Bacterial small subunit ribosomal RNA", at positions 28 to 507 of the family's 1533-position model. The record is from RNAcentral.
GAUGAACGCUGGCGGCGUGCCUAAUACAUGCAAGUCGAGCGAACAGACGAGGAGCUUGCUCCUCUGACGUUAGCGGCGGACGGGUGAGUAACACGUGGAUAACCUACCUAUAAGACUGGGAUAACUUCGGGAAACCGUAGCUAAUACCGGAUAAUAUAUUGAACCGCAUGGUUCAAUAGUGAAAGACGGUUUUGCUGUCACUUAUAGAUGGAUCCGCGCCGCAUUAGCUAGUUGGUAAGGUAACGGCUUACCAAGGCAACGAUGCGUAGCCGACCUGAGAGGGUGAUCGGCCACACUGGAACUGAGACACGGUCCAGACUCCUACGGGAGGCAGCAGUAGGGAAUCUUCCGCAAUGGGCGAAAGCCUGACGGAGCAACGCCGCGUGAGUGAUGAAGGUCUUCGGAUCGUAAAACUCUGUUAUUAGGGAAGAACAAAUGUGUAAGUAACUAUGCACAUCUUGACGGUACCUAAUCAGAAAGCCACGGCUAACUACGUG